GACUAUCAAACUCCAGUGGAGACUGAAGUUGACUGGAAUAAAAAUGAAAUCCUUUCUAAAAAGAUUAACUUUUGUGGUCCAUCUACGAACUCGCAAGAAAGCAGCUCUACCUUCACAAGCUUUAGAAGGAUCUCUAUCCAGAUCAGCAAGCUUUCUAAAGAAAAAGCUAUUGAAAAAAUGGAACCUGUCUUUUUCCUCCAGAUUCAUUUUGUUCUUCAGAUACUUAUGGAAACAGCAUCGGGAU
RNAcentral lists this unclassified non-coding RNA (244 nucleotides) under Hevea brasiliensis (rubber tree). Lineage: Eukaryota; Viridiplantae; Streptophyta; Magnoliopsida; Malpighiales; Euphorbiaceae. The record is from RNAcentral.